Long non-coding RNA from Zingiber officinale, 2929 nucleotides. RefSeq lists it as uncharacterized. Lineage: Eukaryota; Viridiplantae; Streptophyta; Magnoliopsida; Zingiberales; Zingiberaceae. The transcript is spliced from 4 exons. The record is from RefSeq and is a predicted model, not a curated record.
UGCACACGCUCUGGUACCGGGAGGGAGGCGCCAUCGCUUCAUGUUUGGGGAGGUGAUCGGAGGGGGACGGCGGGGGAAGCGCGAGGUCGAGGUUGUGGUGGCGGCGGGGCGCUGGAUGCGGUUCGGGCUUGUGGAGUUAUUACAGAAGGGACAAGUAGCAUGAGGCCUGGAGGUUGCCUAACGGAACCUGAAAUUCCAAUUAGAUUAUUGCAGACAGUGCAUCUGAUGAAGAUACAAGGGUGUUUGUGCAAUUCUUGCUGACAGUUUAUGUCAAUUCUCCUUCAGUCAGCUGAUGGAUAAAAAUAGAGAUCAAUUCUGGCAGCAUGGAGUGUCUUUCUGUAAUAGCUUCCCUCUGCUAUUCUUUGCUCAGUGAAUGCCAUCGUAAUUGUUUAUGACUUAGUGCUGGAUCAUAUUAUUUUGGGGAUGAACUUCUCAAGUCCUGCUCUUACAGAGUAAACUCAUCUUUCAACUUGGAUUCUGGAAGAACACAUCAAUGUGAACAAGACUUCAUUUGAGGAUGGUCUGGUGACCAAGUUUCCGCUGUUGCUUCUACUUAUCAACAGAUCAUCAACCCUGGUAUUUCUUCUCAAUAUAAAAGCUUGGAAUUAAUUUGCUCCAAAUAAGGCCAAAGAGCUGACUUGGCUGGUGGUGAAAAAUAGAAUCAACUCCAUAGUCAAGUUAAGAUAAAUGGUUCAUCUCCAGAAUGAAAAUAAUGUAUUGUGCACAGAUGGAGUUUUUGAAACAAAUCGAGAAGUCAUUAUUUUUUGGCAAUGAAUAGCUAUCCUGGAACUUUAAAGUCUUUCAAAAAGGUGGCAAAGUUGGGAAAUUCCUUAUGUCUAGCUUGGGUAAUCAUUUAGAAAGCAAGCCCUGGUAUAUAUUUCGGGAAUGAAUAGUGGAAUUCUGAUAAGCUCUUUACAUCUUGAAUAGAAUGUAUUAUGUUUUAGAGCCUUAGAAGUAACUCACUGGACGAAAUAUGAUUAGAAGAAUGCUCAUGGAGCUUCGGUGAAGCUUCAAUGGAGUUAUCUGUUUCUUCUUUUGAACAUGGAAUUCUGAUUGUCUCUUAGUUUUGUUGGAGGCAGCAUUGCUUUUGAGAUGGUAGAAACUCUCUGAAUUAUUAGAACUCCUGCUUUCUUUUUCUAAUAUACCAAGUCAACUAUUGUUCGCUAGAAUUUUUUUACAAAAAAAUAAUAAAAUAGGAAUGUAGUUAGUGCUAACAUGCAUUUGAAAAUUUUAAUAGCUUGUGGAGCAUUGCUUUCAAUCUCUUGUGGUAAUUUCUGGGAUCACCCUUCACAUCCACCAGGUCUCCAUAAUCUCAUCAUUCAAGAAUUUUGAUAGUACCCAAUUGAAUCUUAUGUUUGUGACCAUCUGAAUGUAUAAAAAUGUAGGAUUGGUGAUUGAAACUUGAUAUUGUUUUUUUUUUUCCUUUCUGUUCUCUAUAGCGGUUUUGAUACCCUAACCAUAAAUUGUUAGCUGAAUUAUCGAAUAUCGACCUGUAUGCCUUUCAUCUAUGUCUAAUACUAAUAAUUUCUUGUCUUUGCUUGAUUUGUUGUCCAAUUUCCUACCUAUUCUCUGAGAUAUCAUUGCAUUACACGUUGAAAUAAAACUAUGCCUUCACAAACUGUAGAUUUUAUUUACUUUUUCUUUUUUUAUCUCAGCAUUUGAUUGAUAUGUUGCAAACACUACUAUCAUUUAGUUAUUGUUUGUUGAAUAAGAUUCUAAAGAACUCUCUGUUUGGUCUAUAUGAUACAUUAAUUCCACAGAAGAAUGAUAUUUAUUUGUUUCAGAACAAACUUCUGCUUUGAAUUAUAUAUGAUUCCGAUAUCUCGAGUAUGGAAAUUAUAUCAUGCUAGCUGGAGAACUAUAGAACUCCUAGAUUUUAUUAUCUAACAAAGCAUUUUGCAGAAAUCAAUGGAAAAAAGUGCAGUCUGUAAAAUUGUCACAUGGUUCAGUCUCAGAUUUUGAUUGGCAUUACCAAUUUGAAAGAUGCAUCUCACCCUGCUCCAUCAGAUGAUCUUUGAUGUCACAAAGGCCUUUGCAAGUACAUCAUCAAGGAUUGGCGGUGUCGAUCCAAAGACAGCAUUGGCAACAGUGAUUACACCAGGGUUUUGGCUGCUGAGCCCAGCAAUGGCCACGGCACUGGCAGUCCAGUUGUUGUAUUGAUAGUGUAUGAGGCCUUGAGGGAACACAAACACAUCUCCCUUGUUAAGAACCUUGGUGUAGUGCUUGUUCUCAGGGUUUGAGGUUACAAAGCCGACAAGGAUGGUGCCUUCCAACACCACAAGGACCUCAGUGGCACGCGGGUGGGUGUGUGGUGGAUUGAGUCCAAAGGGAGCAUAGUCGAUGCGAACUAAGGAGAUGCCGUAUGUAUUCAACCCAGGAAUCUGAACCACAUUGACAGGGGUCACCUUGGAACCAACCGCAUUCGAAGUGUUACCAGCCUUGUCAAGGCCACUGAAGAAGAAAUCAUCAACGGUGACCCUCUUCGAGUCCUUACAUGGGAGGCCAUUAACCAAAGCUGCACGAGAUGAUAUGCAUUAGUGACUCAAUCUAUUUGAAUUCGACAAAUGCAUGAUAAUCACCUGUCGAAUUCUCAUCGGCAACACAAAAAUCUUGGAGCUGGCCGGGAUCAGAAGCCAUGGCAGUUAUGGAGGCCAAGGCAAUGAGGGCGACGGAGAUGAUGUAGCUCGCCAUCUCUCUACUCUCUCUUGCCUAGUAAGAGACACUGCUUACUAAUGGAUGAGUUAAAGAGUAUUUAUAGAUUUUUUGAACUGUUCAUCUCUUCAGCAAAGCUGGACGGCACAGAUCCUCCUCAAAUUGUUUAUGGAAUUAUAGAGUGAAUUAGACUUGCUCCAAAUGUUGUAUUAUCACGGACGUUGUCCGGCAAUGGCCAAGUCUUGAUGAGUUGCGGGGGAGAAAUUCAUUGAUUUUA